AACGAACGCUGGCGGCGCGCCUAACACAUGCAAGUCGAACGAGAAUCCGGGGCAACCCGGUAGUAAAGUGGCAAACGGGUGAGGAAUACAUGGGUAACCUACCCUUGAGAAGGGAAUAACCCGCCGAAAGGUGAGCUAAUACCCUAUACGCUAUCUUUUUUUCGAAAAGGAUAGGAAAGCCGGGUCGAGGACCUGGUACUCAAGGAGGGGCUCAUGUCCUAUCAGCUUGUUGGUGGGGUAACGGCCUACCAAGGCUACGACGGGUAGCUGGUCUGAGAGGAUGAUCAGCCACACUGGCACUGAGAUACGGGCCAGACUCCUACGGGAGGCAGCAGUGAGGAAUAUUGCGCAAUGGGCGAAAGCCUGACGCAGCGACGCCGCGUGGGGGAUGAAGGUUUUCGGAUUGUAAACCCUUUCAUGAGGAAAGAUAAAGUGGGUAACCACUUAGACGGUACCUCAAGAAGAAGCCACGGCUAACUUCGUGCCAGCAGCCGCGGUAAUGUGACU
This 507-nucleotide ribosomal RNA is filed under the name uncultured bacterium. Its description in RNAcentral is "bacterial SSU rRNA". It matches the Rfam family "Bacterial small subunit ribosomal RNA", at positions 29 to 530 of the family's 1533-position model. The record is from RNAcentral.